GCAAGUCGAACGAGAAAGUUAUAAUUGAUUCUUCGGAUGAUUUUAUAACCGGAAAGUGGCGAAAGGGUGAGUAACGCGUCAGCAACCUGCCUCUAUGUCGGGGAUAACAGCCGGAAACAGCUGCUAAUACCGGAUGUGAAUACAGUUUCGCAUGUAACUGUAUUUAAAGAUUUAUUGCAUAGAGAUGGGCUCGCGUUCCAUUAGCUAGUUGGUGAGGUAACGGCUCACCAAGGCAACGAUGGAUAGGUGGUCUGAGAGGACGAUC
This 265-nucleotide ribosomal RNA is filed under the name uncultured bacterium. RNAcentral's name for it is "partial 16S ribosomal RNA". It matches the Rfam family "Bacterial small subunit ribosomal RNA", at positions 57 to 305 of the family's 1533-position model. The record is from RNAcentral.